CCAAGACCUGUUUGGAGAAUUAAACCAGCUAAUGUAGGAGCCACGGCUGCCGCUGGGGAGGGCCCAGUAAUUAUUAGUUCCCUCCCCGUCCUAGGGGACCCCCCAGGAGAGCGUAGUGUGGGCUCCUAGUGGGGCCUCUCGAGGCAAAUACCUCCCGAGAGGGGGCGCGCGCCCUCCCCUCUUCCCAUGGGGCGCCCCCAGUUCCAGCCUGACCUGGAACUCAGGGUUGCCAGAGCUGCUGAAUUUUCAAGAGAAAGCGGAAAUCUGAGUUUUAAUGAGACCGCUCCUGAUUUUUUAAAACGUUGAUCAUGAAGUUAAAACAAUAAUAAUGCUUCUCCAGCCACCUUGGGUGAAGAUGACACUGUGGAUGGCAGAGGAGGAAGAUACAAACAGCCAGGUCUCUGAUGGCCUCUUCAAGAGACUACUUUUUGGUACCUGCAUUCUUGGAACCAUUUGGACCAACCUUCAGACUUAGAAUUAUGUGAGCUAUAUUGUAUGACCCAGGAGACAGAAUGAGGUGAUCUGUACAGCCAAUAGGAAAAGAUCUACAAAAUAUCAAAUGAGGAUGGGAAGAUAGUACCCUGCAGAGUUUGAUUUAUGCAGAAUUUUAAAGGAUGCAUAUACUUACAUUUUCUGAUAAAUGCAUAAAAUAUUUUCCUGGAAAGAUCCAUAAGUAAACUGUAAUCAGUGCUUACCUUUGAGAAUACAGCAGGAAGUAGAGGCAUGAAGGGAAAGGGACUUUUUCUUCUCAUUUUGUACUUGUCUAUAAGUUUUUUUUGUUUUGUUUUGUUUGUUUGUUUUGAGACGGAGUUGCGCUCUGUUGCCCCGGCUGGAGUGUAGUGGCCUGAUCUGGGCUCACGACAAGCUCCGCCUCCCAGGUUCAUGCCAUUCUCUUGCUUCAGCCUCCCUAGUAGCUGGAACUACAGGAUAAGGUUUCAUUUUUAACUGUAUGCCUACAUUACUUGUAUGUGUUUGCAGAAAGUAAAAUCAACAGAGAUGUGGUGAUAGAAUCUAAUAGCAAUUUUGUCAUUUUCAUGAACAAAUAUUUUAUGCAAUGGAAAAUAUUAAAACUCUGGGAAUAAAGCGUGUUAAUGCCUG
This is a long non-coding RNA of Homo sapiens (human), 1098 nucleotides long. RefSeq lists it as uncharacterized. Lineage: Eukaryota; Metazoa; Chordata; Mammalia; Primates; Hominidae. The record is from RefSeq and is a predicted model, not a curated record. The transcript is spliced from 2 exons.